AUCUGUUUUUUCGUAUAAAAAUAUAUAAAAUACCAAAAUCUAAAAUGCUGUCAACUGCCAUUUAUCGAUAGAUUUGACUAAGCUUAACGUAUUUGCACAUUAAACUGUUCCACACUGGCAUCAGCAAUAUUUUUAUGUAUUUCAUUAACCUCUGCUUGCGUCAUUGUGCGUUCCAUAUGGCGAUAAACGAUACGGAAGCAAACGCUGGAUUUGCCCGUUUUCGGAUGUUUAAAUUUGUCCACUAAACUUAUCUGAAUAAAAUGGAAAAACAAAUCAAUUAUUAUUUGCUUAGAUAUUUUUUAUAUAGAAUUUACCUGUUCCACGACAUCCCCCGCAACCGAACGAACCAAGUCAUAAAAGUCGUUGGGAGAGAAACCUUCAUUAACCUCCACAUCAGGUGGCAGCCAAAAGGACAAGUCAUUUGUGCAUUGUGGAUAGUGCGAAAUAGGUUUGUACUUUGUUAGUUUCUGCAGAUCCUGCUCACUGAACUGCGACAAGAAUCCACUGUCGUUGGACCAAAACAAUCGAAUGUCAGGUAUAUCAAACAAAAUCAUGGCUAAGCGCUCCAAACCCAACCCGAAGGCAUAGCCAAUGGACUGAUGCACACCCGCGUGUUGUAAAAUCUCGUGACGCAUAAUACCGCAGCCGAGCACUUCUAGCCAGUUGUCCUUAAAGUAAAUCUCCAACUCCCACGAGGGCUGAGUAAAUGGGAAAUACGUGUCCACCCAACGGUAUUUGAUGCGUGGCCCAAACAGAUCCUUGGUAAGACCCACAAGCACAUGCUUCAUCUCAUGCUCCAUCAAUUUGACGGCUUCCAAUGUAUGACACGGCUGUUUGGUUUGAUCCAUGAACUUGGAGGAGGGCAAAAUCCGCUUUGGAUUGGCUAUCGAACCAGUCCACGUCUCCUCGAACAGCUCCAGGCCGGGAUUACGCUCAAAGAGCUUAUCUUUGGUAACCAGACGCACUGCAUCGGCCUGAUGGAACACUGGAUAAUGCGUGCUAUCGAUCUCAUCGCGUCGAUACACUUCUCCAACCACCAGAAAAUUAUCCAAUCCACCCGAGAUUAGCUCCACUUGAUGGGCUGUGGUGUGGGCACGCAACAAAUGCUGCUCAUUGAUGUAAUAACAAUCCGAUUUCUGUCGACUCACAUGAUCACUGGGUAUCAGUAAGUUGUCGAAAUUCUGUUGCACUGUCACAACGGGAUUCAAUUUGUCGUAUACUGAGAAGAGUGGAUUUCCACGCUGAUUGCGAUACGCGGCAUAGAAAUAGUUAACAAUACGCUGGCGUAUAAUCGACAGUGGAUGAUCUUGUUGCAGAUGCUUAUUCAUUCCCAGAUGCGUCAAUAUUUUGGGCGUUACAUUCGUCCAGCUGUCAGUGGCGUACGUGCCUCCAUUGAUUUCCAAUUGUGAUUGGUUGUUUGGUGUCACUAUUUUACUGGCCUCCUCGGCAGCGCUGCUGGCCAACAAGCGUCGCGAACAGAGCCUUGCACUAUGCACUGUGCGCAGUGUUAAUAACAUUUUCAUGCUGUUUAUUUUUUAUUUAUUUAUUUAAUUGACAGAAAGUAGGUCUAUUGCAUUAUUUACUAUCUAUUACAAAACAACAGCUGUUUGUGUUAUCGAUGCGCGUGCGUCGUUCGGGUCGAUAAUUCUACAAUAUAAUUCUAUCGAUACGUACUGAUUUGGAUGUUAUUAAGCAGGGCUGCAUUUCGUUAUCAAAAUCUAUCGACUUCAAAUAUUCAACGUUGUGAAGAUUAAGCUGCUUGAGCAGUGUGUAGUUAAUAUUAAUUGUAUUUUAAUAUUAAUUAAAAUGCAGUAUUAUUUUAAUAAUUAUUUAUUUAAUACAAAAACAUCAACAUUGAUAUAUGCCUAAUUUGUUUCAUUUGUAAUGGCAAACUAAUAGAGAAUAUAUGAUGAUUACAGAUCGGAGCAUAAAUAUAUGCCAUUUAAAUUAUAACUUCGCUUUUGAGAUGCUUCUUGUAUUGGAAUAGAGGUGUUGUGAAUAAUUAAAUGAGGUUGAACGGCUGUGUAUGAUGAUGAUUUUAGACCAAUGGAUAGCUGGCAGCUGUGGCAAUACCGCACUGAUUCUUCGCAUUACGCGUCAUCUUGAUGAAGCCCUUGUCACCCCAGGUGGUGCCCCAAGAGUUCUUAACCAACCAGAAGUCCUGGCCAUUCUCGUCUGUGCCAAAGCCAACGGCAAGCACACCGUGAUCCAAGUUCUGGGGAUCGCACUGUGGCUCAUUGUAGACGCCCUCGGAGUAAAACUGGAAUGAUUCGUGCGAGGCAUCGAUGGCAACUGAAACGGGUCCAAUAGUGGCAACUGCCUCAGCCAUUUUCUUCUCAUUGCCUUGAGGAAUAUCAACAAAGCCGCGAUCUGUGGCUCCAACGGUGUCCUUGUUGAAGUGGCAGGAAUCAUCAAUACCCUCAUAGGCAUAAGACUUCUCGGUGUCAAUGCCACCAUUGUCCUUGAUGUAACGGAAAGCGUUGUCCAUCAGGCCACCGUUGCAGCCAUUGUUACCAUACGAGGUGGAGCAAUCGACCAGAUUCUGCUCGGACAACGACACCAAGGCGCCAGUCUUGCGGAAAUGCUGUCCCUCCAAAGCGCCAGUGCUGGAGAA
Molecule: long non-coding RNA, 2614 nt
Organism: Drosophila sulfurigaster albostrigata
Lineage: Eukaryota; Metazoa; Arthropoda; Insecta; Diptera; Drosophilidae
Exons: 2
Source: RefSeq, a predicted model, not a curated record